AUUUAGCUGACACGUGUGAAAAAUGAAAGUAAUUAUAGUUAAGAUCUACACCGAAAUAAUCAGCGGGGCAGGUGAAAAGUCAGUUAGUUAUCAAGUCCACAGCAACAGAAAAACGAUUUGUUGAUGUUCUAGCCCUGCACACCUUGUUCAGUCGUCAAAAGCGUGAGAGCUAGCUGACCAAACGGAGUCAAAUCAAUCGCCUUACUAUGAUAAAGCACGCUAUUUUUGUCUAUAUUUUUGUUUCUCUGAUGCUUGGUUCUUUCGCCCAUCCCAUUUUAAGAACAAGAUUGUCGCAAGACAUGUCAGGCACAAGGCAAUUACUGGAAGAACCUGGGAUGACGAAGUGUCCUCAUCCAAGCGACAUCCAUUUUUGCACAUUCGAGUUUCUUUACAAUGAAGCAUGUUACGAAGGAACUGAAGAGUUUAAAAUAAGAUGCCAAAACUUCUGUAAUGGAUUGUGCAGAAUUUAUGGAACUCUUUCAUAACUAGCGAGCCUAGUUAUUGUUCUUUUAAAACCAAGUAAAGCAGUCUUAUUAAUCCCGUAAACAAAUAAUGAACAUAAUGAUUUUCUCUCGAACGUG
Molecule: long non-coding RNA, 581 nt
Organism: Pocillopora damicornis (cauliflower coral)
Lineage: Eukaryota; Metazoa; Cnidaria; Anthozoa; Scleractinia; Pocilloporidae
Source: RefSeq, a predicted model, not a curated record